UGACCCCUUCAUGAGGACUUCUAGGGCUGGAUGAAAUAACCUUCAGAUCGCUGCUAUGACAAGUUCAUCUCCAUCUAGACACACAAGAUCAUUGCCUGCACAAUUGUCCACCCUAGAUGAAGAUUGUCCUGGAAGCAUUGGAAACCCUGGACCUUCUCAAGAUCUGGAGGAAUGCAACAUUUAUAUCUAAUUACAGGCAUGAGGAGGACAUAGGUGACAGCAGGUAAGAAAGG
Non-coding RNA from Python bivittatus (Burmese python), 233 nucleotides. NCBI's taxonomy places the organism in Eukaryota, Metazoa, Chordata, Lepidosauria, Squamata, Pythonidae. The record is from RefSeq and is a predicted model, not a curated record.